GCCCCGGUAGCUCAGCUCGGUAGAGCGCCCGCCUCGUAAGCGGGAGGUCCCGGGUUCAAAUCCCGGCCGGGGCUCCA
This 77-nucleotide transfer RNA is filed under the name Thermoprotei archaeon. RNAcentral describes it as "tRNA-Thr". It matches the Rfam family "tRNA". Rfam says of the family: Transfer RNA (tRNA) molecules are approximately 80 nucleotides in length. Their secondary structure includes four short double-helical elements and three loops (D, anti-codon, and T loops). Further hydrogen bonds mediate the characteristic L-shaped molecular structure. tRNAs have two regions of fundamental functional importance: the anti-codon, which is responsible for specific mRNA codon recognition, and the 3' end, to which the tRNAs corresponding amino acid is attached (by aminoacyl-tRNA synthetases). tRNAs cope with the degeneracy of the genetic code in two manners: having more than one tRNA (with a specific anti-codon) for a particular amino acid; and 'wobble' base-pairing, i.e. permitting non-standard base-pairing at the 3rd anti-codon position. Lineage: Archaea; Thermoproteati; Thermoproteota; Thermoprotei. The record is from RNAcentral. RNAcentral also lists the same sequence under 1 other name.